AAGUCGAGGGGAAACGAUAGAGAAAGCUUGCUUUUUCUAGGCGUCGACCGGCGCACGGGUGAGUAACGCGUAUCCAACCUGCCCACCACUUGGGAAUAACCUUGCGAAAGUAAGACUAAUACCCAAUGAUAUCUCUAAAAGACAUCUGAAGGAGAUUAAAGAUUUAUCGGUGAUGGAUGGGGAUGCGUCUGAUUAGCUUGUUGGCGGGGUAACGGCCCACCAAGGCGACGAUCAGUAGGGGUUCUGAGAGGAAGGUCCCCCACAUUGGAACUGAGACACGGUCCAAACUCCUACGGGAGGCAGCAGUGAGGAAUAUUGGUCAAUGGGCGAGAGCCUGAACCAGCCAAGUAGCGUGCAGGAUGACGGCCCUAUGGGUUGUAAACUGCUUUUAUAAGGGAAUAAAGUGGGAGUCGUGACUCCUUUUGCAUGUACCUUAUGAAUAAGGACCGGCUAAUUCCGUGCCAGCAGCCGCGGUAAUACGGAAGGUCCGGGCGUUAUCCGGAUUUAUUGGGUUUAAAGGGAGCGUAGGCCGGAGAUUAAGCGUGUUGUGAAAUGUAGACGCUCAACGUCUGCACUGCAGCGCGAACUGGUUUCCUUGAGUACGCACAAAGUGGGCGGAAUUCGUGGUGUAGCGGUGAAAUGCUUAGAUAUCACGAAGAACUCCGAUUGCGAAGGCAGCUCACUGGAGCGCAACUGACGCUGAAGCUCGAAAGUGCGGGUAUCGAACAGGAUUAGAUACCCUGGUAGUCCGCACGGUAAACGAUGGAUGCCCGCUGUUGGUCUGAAUAGGUCAGCGGCCAAGCGAAAGCAUUAAGCAUCCCACCUGGGGAGUACGCCGGCAA
This 842-nucleotide ribosomal RNA is filed under the name uncultured bacterium. RNAcentral's name for it is "bacterial SSU rRNA". It matches the Rfam family "Bacterial small subunit ribosomal RNA", at positions 59 to 891 of the family's 1533-position model. The record is from RNAcentral.